UGCAGUCGAACGAGAUUAGAGAGCUUGCUCUCUAUGAAAGUGGCGCACGGGUGCGUAACGCGUAUGCAACCUACCUUAAUCAGGGGGAUAGCCCGAAGAAAUUCGGAUUAAGACCGCAUAGAAACACAGCACAGCAUUGUGCAAUGUUCAAAUAUUUAUAGGAUUAAGAUGGGCAUGCGUGUCAUUAGCUAGUUGGCGGGGUAACGGCCCACCAAGGCGACGAUGACUAGGGGAUCUGAGAGGAUGACCCCCCACACUGGUACUGAGACACGGACCAGACUCCUACGGGAGGCAGCAGUAAGGAAUAUUGGUCAAUGGAGGGAACUCUGAACCAGCCAUGCCGCGUGCAGGAAGACAGCCCUCUGGGUCGUAAACUGCUUUUAUUCGGGAAUAAACCUUAUUACGUGUAAUAAGCUGAAUGUACCGAAAGAAUAAGCACCGGCUAACUACGUGCCAGCAGCCGCGGUAAUACGUAGGGUGCAAGCGUUAAUCGGAAUUACUGGGCGUAAAGCGUGCGCAGGCGGUUUUGUAAGUCUGAUGUGAAAUCCCCGGGCUCAACCUGGGAAUUGCAUUGGAGACUGCAAGGCUAGAAUCUGGCAGAGGGGGGUAGAAUUCCACGUGCAGCAGUGAAAUGCGUAGAUAUGUGGAGGAACACCGAUGGCGAAGGCAGCCCCCUGGGUCAAGAUUGACGCUCAUGCACGAAAGCGUGGGGAGCAAACAGGAUUAGAUACCCUGGUAGUCCACGCCCUAAACGAUGUCUACUAGUUGU
Molecule: ribosomal RNA, 769 nt
Filed under: uncultured bacterium
Lineage: Bacteria
Description: bacterial SSU rRNA
Rfam family: Bacterial small subunit ribosomal RNA
Source: RNAcentral